GACUGCGUACCUUUUGUAUAAUGGGUCAGCGACUUAUAUUCUGUAGCAAGGUUAACCGAAUAGGGGAGCCGAAGGGAAACCGAGUCUUAACUGGGCGUUAAGUUGCAGGGUAUAGACCCGAAACCCGGUGAUCUAGCCAUGGGCAGGUUGAAGGUUGGGUAACACUAACUGGAGGACCGAACCGACUAAUGUUGAAAAAUUAGCGGAUGACUUGUGGCUGGGGGUGAAAGGCCAAUCAAACCGGGAGAUAGCUGGUUCUCCCCGAAAGCUAUUUAGGUAGCGCCUCGUGAAUUCAUCUCCGGGGGUAGAGCACUGUUUCGGCAAGGGGGUCAUCCCGACUUACCAACCCGAUGCAAACUGCGAAUACCGGAGAAUGUUAUCACGGGAGACACACGGCGGGUGCUAACGUCCGUCGUGAAGAGGGAAACAACCCAGACCGCCAGCUAAGGUCCCAAAGUCAUGGUUAAGUGGGAAACGAUGUGGGAAGGCCCAGACAGCCAGGAUGUUGGCUUAGAAGCAGCCAUCAUUUAAAGAAAGCGUAAUAGCUCACUGGUCGAGUCGGCCUGCGCGGAAGAUGUAACGGGGCUAAACCAUGCACCGAAGCUGCGGCAGCGACGCUUAUGCGUUGUUGGGUAGGGGAGCGUUCUGUAAGCCUGCGAAGGUGUGCUGUGAGGCAUGCUGGAGGUAUCAGAAGUGCGAAUGCUGACAUAAGUAACGAUAAAGCGGGUGAAAAGCCCGCUCGCCGGAAGACCAAGGGUUCCUGUCCAACGUUAAUCGGGGCAGGGUGAGUCGACCCCUAAGGCGAGGCCGAAAGGCGUAGUCGAUGGGAAACAGGUUAAUAUUCCUGUACUUGGUGUUACUGCGAAGGGGGGACGGAGAAGGCUAUGUUGGCCGGGCGACGGUUGUCCCGGUUUAAGCGUGUAGGCUGGUUUUCCAGGCAAAUCCGGAAAAUCAAGGCUGAGGCGUGAUGACGAGGCACUACGGUGCUGAAGCAACAAAUGCCCUGCUUCCAGGAAAAGCCUCUAAGCAUCAGGUAACAUCAAAUCGUACCCCAAACCGACACAGGUGGUCAGGUAGAGAAUACCAAGGCGCUUGAGAGAACUCGGGUGAAGGAACUAGGCAAAAUGGUGCCGUAACUUCGGGAGAAGGCACGCUGAUAUGUAGGUGAAGCGACUUGCUCGUGGAGCUGAAAUCAGUCGAAGAUACCAGCUGGCUGCAACUGUUUAUUAAAAACACAGCACUGUGCAAACACGAAAGUGGACGUAUACGGUGUGACGCCUGCCCGGUGCCGGAAGGUUAAUUGAUGGGGUCAGCGCAAGCGAAGCUCUUGAUCGAAGCCCCGGUAAACGGCGGCCGUAACUAUAACGGUCCUAAGGUAGCGAAAUUCCUUGUCGGGUAAGUUCCGACCUGCACGAAUGGCGUAAUGAUGGCCAGGCUGUCUCCACCCGAGACUCAGUGAAAUUGAACUCGCUGUGAAGAUGCAGUGUACCCGCGGCAAGACGGAAAGACCCCGUGAACCUUUACUAUAGCUUGACACUGAACAUUGAGCCUUGAUGUGUAGGAUAGGUGGGAGGCUUUGAAGUGUGGACGCCAGUCUGCAUGGAGCCGACCUUGAAAUACCACCCUUUAAUGUUUGAUGUUCUAACGUGGACCCGUGAUCCGGGUUGCGGACAGUGUCUGGUGGGUAGUUUGACUGGGGCGGUCUCCUCCUAAAGAGUAACGGAGGAGCACGAAGGUUGGCUAAUCCUGGUCGGACAUCAGGAGGUUAGUGCAAUGGCAUAAGCCAGCUUGACUGCGAGCGUGACGGCGCGAGCAGGUGCGAAAGCAGGUCAUAGUGAUCCGGUGGUUCUGAAUGGAAGGGCCAUCGCUCAACGGAUAAAAGGUACUCCGGGGAUAACAGGCUGAUACCGCCCAAGAGUUCAUAUCGACGGCGGUGUUUGGCACCUCGAUGUCGGCUCAUCACAUCCUGGGGCUGAAGUAGGUCCCAAGGGUAUGGCUGUUCGCCAUUUAAAGUGGUACGCGAGCUGGGUUUAGAACGUCGUGAGACAGUUCGGUCCCUAUCUGCCGUGGGCGCUGGAGAACUGAGGGGGGCUGCUCCUAGUACGAGAGGACCGGAGUGGACGCAUCACUGGUGUUCGGGUUGUCAUGCCAAUGGCACUGCCCGGUAGCUAAAUGCGGAAGAGAUAAGUGCUGAAAGCAUCUAAGCACGAAACUUGCCCCGAGAUGAGUUCUCCCUGACUCCUUGAGAGUCCUGAAGGAACGUUGAAGACGACGACGUUGAUAGGCCGGGUGUGUAAGCGCAGCGAUGCGUUGAGCUAACCGGUACUAAUGAACCGUGAGG
This 2341-nucleotide ribosomal RNA is filed under the name Escherichia coli. Its description in RNAcentral is "partial 23S ribosomal RNA". It matches the Rfam family "Bacterial large subunit ribosomal RNA", at positions 595 to 2915 of the family's 2925-position model. The record is from RNAcentral. Lineage: Bacteria; Pseudomonadati; Pseudomonadota; Gammaproteobacteria; Enterobacterales; Enterobacteriaceae.